GAUGAAGAACGCAGCGAAAUGCGAUACUUGGUGUGAAUUGCAGAAUCCCGCGAAUCAUCGAGUUUUUGAACGCAAGUCGCGCCCGAAGCCAUUCGGCCGAGGGCACGUCUGCCUGGGUGUCACGCAUCGUUGCCCCCCCAAACUCCGGUUCGGGCGGGGCGGAAGUUGGCCUCCCGUGCGUGCCUGCGCGCGCGGUUAGCCCAAAAGCGAGUCCUCGGCGAUGAGCGCCACGACAAUCGGCGGUUUUUUUACCCUCGUUCCUCGUCGUGCGUGCCCCGUCGCCCGAACGCGCUCUUGCAACCCUUACGCGUCGCCUCGGUGGCGCUCCCAACGCGACCCCAGGUCAGGCGGGACUACCCGCUGAGUUUAAGCAUAUCAAUAAGCGGAGGA
Molecule: unclassified non-coding RNA, 390 nt
Filed under: soil metagenome
Description: partial contains 5.8S ribosomal RNA, internal transcribed spacer 2, and large subunit ribosomal RNA
Rfam family: 5.8S ribosomal RNA (bases 1-122)
Source: RNAcentral